UACGAAGGGGACUAGCGUUGUUCGGAAUCACUGGGCGUAAAGCGCACGUAGGCGGAUUCGUAAGUCAGGGGUGAAAUCCCGGGGCUCAACCUCGGAACUGCCUUUGAUACUGCGGGUCUUGAGUCCGAUAGAGGUGGGUGGAAUUCCUGGUGUAGCGGUGAAAUGCGCAGAUAUCAGGAGGAACACCAGCGGCGAAGGCGGCGCUCUGGGCUGGAACUGACGCUGAGGAGCGAAAGCGUGGGGAGCGAACAGG
RNAcentral lists this ribosomal RNA (253 nucleotides) under uncultured bacterium. RNAcentral describes it as "partial 16S ribosomal RNA". It matches the Rfam family "Bacterial small subunit ribosomal RNA", at positions 524 to 776 of the family's 1533-position model. The record is from RNAcentral.